RNAcentral lists this long non-coding RNA (342 nucleotides) under Elaeis guineensis (African oil palm). Its description in RNAcentral is "long non-coding RNA (EGUI_LNC058452)". The record is from RNAcentral. Lineage: Eukaryota; Viridiplantae; Streptophyta; Magnoliopsida; Arecales; Arecaceae.
UGAGGCAGAAGAACUCCCGGAACUACAGGGAGCAGAAGAGCCGGAAGACAUUUCGAGUAGUUUCGAAGGGGGGGCUCUAAAGAACCCUAAGAAGGCGGACAGAAGGGGGAAUGAGAGGUCAUAGGAAGCUAACUCGGAGGGAUGCAAAAAGAUAAUGACAGAAAAGAAGUCCCUAGGAGGUGAGAAGAAGGUUGGCGGUGCUGGAACUAACCUAUAUCGCUCUGAGGGACCUGAGGAACGAAAAUAGGAGACGCCUACGACUCGAGAAGACGCCCACUGAAACAGGGCUCUCGAAGAAAAGGCAAACGCUGGUAAGAACUCAGGAACGAAGUAGGGCACCUA